RNAcentral lists this small nuclear RNA (160 nucleotides) under Piliocolobus tephrosceles (Ugandan red Colobus). RNAcentral's name for it is "U1 spliceosomal RNA (ENSPTEG00000022180.1)". It matches the Rfam family "U1 spliceosomal RNA". Rfam says of the family: U1 is a small nuclear RNA (snRNA) component of the spliceosome (involved in pre-mRNA splicing). Its 5' end forms complementary base pairs with the 5' splice junction, thus defining the 5' donor site of an intron. There are significant differences in sequence and secondary structure between metazoan and yeast U1 snRNAs, the latter being much longer (568 nucleotides as compared to 164 nucleotides in human). The record is from RNAcentral. Lineage: Eukaryota; Metazoa; Chordata; Mammalia; Primates; Cercopithecidae.
CUUGUCAUCCAGCUGUUAUGGUUAAUAAUGGAUAGUUUUCUCUGGGUGAGACUUAUCCAUUGCACACCUGAUGUGCUGACCCCUGCGAUUUCCCCAAAUGUGGGAAAGUUGCCCGCAUAAUUUGUGAUAAUGGGGGACUGUGUGUUCCUGCUUUUCCCUG